GACGAACGCUGGCGGCGUGCUUAACACAUGCAAGUCGAGCGGUAAGGCCCUUUCGGGGGUACGACGAGCGGCGAACGGGUGAGUAACACGUGGGUGACCUGCCCUCAGCUCUGGGAUAAGCCCGGGAAACUGGGUCUAAUACUGGAUAUGACUCCAUGACGCAUGUUGUGGGGUGGAAAGCCUUGUGCGGCUGGGGAUGGGCCCGCGGCCUAUCAGCUUGUUGGUGGGGUGAUGGCCUACCAAGGCGACGACGGGUAGCCGGCCUGAGAGGGCGACCGGCCACACUGGGACUGAGACACGGCCCAGACUCCUACGGGAGGCAGCAGUGGGGAAUCUCGCGCAAUGGGCGAAAGCCUGACGCAGCGACGCCGCGUGAGGGAUGACGGCCUCGG
Molecule: ribosomal RNA, 392 nt
Filed under: uncultured bacterium
Lineage: Bacteria
Description: bacterial SSU rRNA
Rfam family: Bacterial small subunit ribosomal RNA
Source: RNAcentral